GAUGAACGCUGGCGGCGUGCUUAACACAUGCAAGUCGAACGAAGCGCUUGGAUGGAAUUCUUCGGAAGGAAGCUCAAGUGACUGAGUGGCGGACGGGUGAGUAACGCGUGGGUAACCUGCCUCAUACAGGGGGAUAACAGUUAGAAAUGACUGCUAAUACCGCAUAAGCACACGUGAUCGCAUGAUCGAGUGUGAAAAACUCCGGUGGUAUGAGAUGGACCCGCGUCUGAUUAGCUAGUUGGUGGGGUAACGGCCCACCAAGGCGACGAUCAGUAGCCGGCCUGAGAGGGUGAACGGCCACAUUGGGACUGAGACACGGCCCAAACUCCUACGGGAGGCAGCAGUGGGGAAUAUUGCACAAUGGGGGAAACCCUGAUGCAGCGACGCCGCGUGAAGGAUGAAAUAUUUCGGUAUGUAAACUUCUAUCAGCAGGGAAGAAAAUGACGGUACCUGACUAAGAAGCCCCGGCUAACUACGUGCCAGCAGCCGCGGUAAUACGUAGGGGGCAAGCGUUAUCCGGAUUUACUGAGUGUAAAGGGAGCGUAGACGGCAGUGCAAGUCUGAAGUGAAAGCCCGGGGCUCAACCCCGGGACUGCUUUGGAAACUGUGCAGCUAGAGUGUCGGAGAGGCAAGCGGAAUUCCUAGUGUAGCGGUGAAAUGCGUAGAUAUUAGGAGGAACACCAGUGGCGAAGGCGGCUUGCUGGACGAUGACUGACGUUGAGGCUCGAAAGCGUGGGGAGCAAACAGGAUUAG
RNAcentral lists this ribosomal RNA (753 nucleotides) under uncultured Lachnospiraceae bacterium. Its description in RNAcentral is "bacterial SSU rRNA". It matches the Rfam family "Bacterial small subunit ribosomal RNA", at positions 28 to 781 of the family's 1533-position model. The record is from RNAcentral. Lineage: Bacteria; Bacillati; Bacillota; Clostridia; Lachnospirales; Lachnospiraceae.